GCCAGGAGUGCUGUUUGUUCUGCCUGAAGUCUUCACUCUGGUCCUUGGACCUUCCUUUGACCUUCCUUGUCUUUUAGCCACCGCCAUUUUGGACUCCUUUUCCCUAUUCUACCUACCUAACAAAACCAAGUAAGCAAAAGCUGCCUUUUCCCCAUAAACACCAUCUCCAGCCCCCUACUAGUCAACCUUCCCCAACAUUUCUCAGACAAUGACUGCUUGAGAAAAGGAACUGUAGAGUGGCCGAUGCCUGUCCAUAUGCACCAUGUUGUGUGCCAGGAGUGUGGACAUCUCUCAGGAUGAUGGGUCAGCAGAUCCCAAAUGUGGCCUGAGGGACUGGGACUCUCCGUGUCUAGGAGGCCAUGCCCCUGUGCUGCACAUGGUCUCAUUUCCUCUAAACCCUGGAGACCUGAAGAGAAGUUGCUUUGCAGGAGUAUUCUUUGCAAGCUCUGCCUGGAGGCAAAGAAUGGAUUAAUGAGAUGACCACUUAGAGCCUCUGUCAGCCUGUUUCCUGAGACUUCAGAAAUCCUCCAGGCGGAAGGAUGACUGAAACAACGAGGUGCAGUAGUUACAGAUGAGAGUGUUGACAGACUGGAGAAAAGUAGAGAAUUUCUGGUUUGCCAGGCAGCCAGGAGAGUGCUGCCCGAACCUUUCGGUAACUGAGUUUAAGGGCGUGAGUGUGUGUGGGGGGCUUUCUCUCUGCACCAGACAGAGCUUCCGGGGGAGAGGGAGGUCCACAUACUGGUCGUUGUGGUUUACUUGCGCAGUCGCUUAGUUGCGUCCAACUCUUUUGUGACCCCGUGGACUGUAGCCCUCCAGGCUUAUUUGUCCAUGGGAUUUUCCAGGCAAGAUACUGGAAGGGAUUGCCAUUUCCUUCUCCAGGGGAUCUUCCUGACCCAGGAAUCCUGAACUCUGUGUGUCUUGCAUUGCAGGCUAAGCCACCUGGGAAGUCCCACAUAUUGGUCACAGUAUUAGAAUAAUAGUAGUAACAAAACCUUGCAUUUUCCAAAGUACUUUUGUAUUGUUGGAUAUUUACAGUACUCUGAAAGAUAGGGAGGGUGUGAUCCUGGAUCAGAGAGCAGAUGACAGGUCAGUGUCCUGCCGGGAGCCAUACAACUAGUUCCUGACAGAUGGAGGGCCUGUAAUCCAUGCCUCCUCAGUUUCAGGGCAAUGAUACUUCCUUCUGAGUGAGCUCCAGGUGGUGGAGGAGAAGGGAGAAAUAGGGAAGAUGUCACACAGGGCCACCACCCUGGACCUGCUCUGCUUCAGCUGUGUGGGGGAGGGGCUCUGCCUUAGGAGUGUAGACGGUGUCUGGUGGACAGGUGCCACAUGCUGCAGGACCCUGGCUUCAAAGGUUGAGUCUAAGCCAUUGUAGGGAGAAGGUGUGUGAAGCUCCUGGGAGUAGGGAUAAUUCAAGAGGCCGAGGGCAGCCUCUCUGGGGCAGAGGCGUUGCGAGCAGCACAGAGUGGCCUCAGAAAUGUAGCUUAGAGGAAUCUCUUGGCAGAAAUCACCACUUGAGCAUCCAGGAUCCCUUCUUGGCCCCUGGCUUCAGCCAGAUAGAACUUGAAGGCUUCUAACACAGAGUAGAUUUCAAAGGAAAAGCUUUGAAGGGAAAAGAGUCUGUGAGAGGAAAGGUUUGGAAAUGACAGAAUAGGGUUUGGAAAUGACAGAAUAGGCUGACUUCGCUGAGGAAUCUGGAAAGGACCCCUACGGACGUCUGCGGUCUGCUUCCCGGAAGCCUUCUGGGGGUCACCAGUCAACCCGUGCCAGAGCCCAGAAUGAGUGUCCUGAUGAAAUUCAAGCCCACAUUUCACUGGGCCACACUGGGGAUACAGCAGUGACAUGAUGGCAUUGUUGAAAUGGACAGGAUUGGUGUUUAGGAGCCGCUUACCUCAAUGAGACAGCUAGAUAUGUAUCUUCAACAUAGUUGUCUUGUCUGCCCCCAGAUGCAGGCAGAAGAAGUAAAACAGAGCCUGUGAACACACUGUGUAAGUGAAGUCCAGUCAGAAACCAACAGGGGUGCUGCUGAGAUGGAAUUCCUUUCAUUCAAUGAGGCGAAGGUCUUGGCUCCUGCUCCAGACUCAGUAGAAUAUUGGAGUUCCGGUGUUCCCAGGAUAAAGUGAUUCUUGUUGAGAGCUGCUUAUAGUCUUUGAGGACCAGCCUACUCUCACCAGUCCCAGCUUUCAGGACUUGUGGCUGAAAGACCUACUUCAGCAUCAGUAUUUUUUUUCUAUCUACCUAUCCAUUUCCUCACUCAUUCACCCACUCACUCGACAGCUCAAAUGUAUUGAGUGAGCACAGCCCGACUUCUAGGGGUAUAACCUGCAGGCAUUACCCCUGCCAUCCAGGUGUUCUGUGUAUAGUCAAGGAGAGGAACCAGAUGUGUAAAGGUUAUAGUGUCAUUCAGCAUGUAUCUCUCAUCCAUGAUGGUUCCAGGACUUUCCUCAUAAUGCCAGCCAGCCAAAACUUGAGUAUCUAUCCCUCAAGUCCUAGAAAAACAAGGAUUUCUCCCCUUGCCCCACUUUUUGGGGGGGGGUGCAGAAUUUGUGGAGAUUUAAUUUGCAGCCUACGAACUUAAUGGAAGUACUUUUCUUCUUGAGUGGAAACUAUUAACAAUGCCAAGAGCUGUUAGUGGACGCAGUUUUCUCUGCACGUGUAGCAAAGUGUAAUUCACAUUCUGGUUCCUGAAAUAACUUAUUGGUGACUUAAAUUACAGAUAUGCAUAUUGCAUCAUGCUCGGUGCUAUAAGGACAUUAAGGUAUUUGCUACAUAAUGUUAGGGAGAUAAUACAUUCAUAUGUGAAUUCAAAAAAUAAUGGUGCUAGCCCAGUGGAGGGUAAGUACCCGAGUGCCUAGACUGGCUAAUAAGAUGAGUGGAUGGUAGAGCCUGGAGCUACCUAUGGGAACACAGGAGGAAGUGACAAGUUCUGUCUGGACACAUGGAGUUGGAUAUGUCUUGGAGACAUUGUAAUCAGAGGGCUAGGGGCUCUCUGAAUCUGGGGCUGGGAGGAGUGCUCCAGGCUGUAGAUCUUGAUUUGGGGAUUAGCAUUUGGAGGAUGCAAUGCCAUGGUGGUCAUGGAAGAAUGUGUAGAAAGCAUCCAACAGAAAGCCAAGGACAGGGACCUGAAGAAACCCCAAAUGCAUGAAAUGGACAGAGGGAGACUGAUCAGAGGAGUGAGUGUGAGAUGGUAGAAUGAGGUGGGGGCUGGUCCCCAAACCAAAGAGCAUUUCGAGAACAGAGAGGGUUGUUAACAGUUUUAUGUAUUCAAGAGUGAUCAAAGUGAACAGUGGUUGUUGGAUCCUUGGGGAGAACAGUCUCAAGAGGAAGUCAAGGGCAGAGGUCAGAGUGCACUAGAAAAGAGGGUCAGUGGAGGAGUGGAAAGUGCAGGGAGAUCCUACUUUCAGGACUGUAAGGGCGGCAGAGAGCAUGGGUGAGAGCUUUCACUAUCCCCCCAGCCUCAGCCCAAAGGUGGGGGUUGUUAUUUUCUGUUUACAGAGGAGACUGAGUUCAAAGAAGUAAAAUAACUUGCCCUUUUCUACAUUACUAUUAUAAACAGAAACCGCCCCCCUCCGCCCCAAUAAAAGUUAUUAUUUAAAAAUGUUUCCAAAACAUUUGCAGGAAAGAAAGUGGCAGGGUAGGGAUGCAGAUCCUAAUAUACCUGACUCCAAAAUCAAGGUCUUUGCUAGUCAAAGUGGUGGUUCAGGGGCCAGUAACAUGGGCAUCACCUGGGACCUAGUUAGAAAUGCAGAUUCUCAGAUUGCACCCAGACCAACUCAGACUCUGCAUCUUAACAAGAUCCAGGUGCUACACAUGCACAUGUGAGAAGCAUCACUAGGGCUUUCUGCUAUACCAUGUUUAGUAAUCUAGGUAAGGAGGAUCCAUGAAAGCAAGUUGACAUAAAAGCAAAGAAAUGGGUGGGAGAGACAUGCAACUCCCAUCUUUCCCUGUAGUGGCACAAGACAUCUGCAUGUCCUUAGGUGAGCUCAAGCAUUCAUCUUCACCAUGAAGGGUAGCCACUGGCCGGUAAGGCCUUCCAUUGAGCCUGGGAGGGGCCUCCUUCACCAUAGGAUGAUAGAGCACAUUGGACUCUGGGCAAGCUUUGCUACAUUUUUAAUUAACAGCCAUUUUCUUCGCAUAAUUCAAAUGCAAAGGAAGAAAACAUCUUUUCAGUCACUAACAUAAUUAAGCUGCAUAGAUUAGCUUGAUCUUUGCUGCUUCUCCAAAGCUCUGCAAGGGAAGAUAACUCAUGUACAUGGAGAUUUGCUCAGAUGUUUUUGCUUCUCGAGGAUUCGGUAACUGCCUACCUGUGAUGUUUUUUAAUUACAGUAACCACCUCUUUGACUACUUGUUUUUGAAUGAGUGCUGCCUUCAAGGUUCUCUUUGGUCCCUCCUCAUCUGUACCUAAAACAACCAGACCACAUGCCAAAUGCCAAGAGAAUCUAAACCCAUGUUUUCUUCUUUCUGUGGGCACACUUUCUUUUUCUCACCUUUGCUUUCUGUUUCUUGAAAGUUAUAUAGAGUUUUCUUGAGUUGAUCAUAAAAUGAAUUAGGUGAAUCUUAACCCACAUUUUACAAAAAUAUACAAAAUGAAAUAGAAAAUAUCAAAGUGCCUCAUGUGUAAUAGGGGCAACAAUUGUUUGUGAAACUUCUGUUUUCGUUAUGUAAAUGUGCAUAUCCCCAGUUUCUGUGCAAAGAUGAUUUCCAUACUGUGAGUUAUGGUUGAAAGGUAUGAGAGCCACUGAUCCAUUUCAGUGGUUCCCUAUUUAGAGAAUCACUGAAACAUAGAAUGUUUUUUAAAUUACCCGUUUCCAGGCCUGUUUCCACCCAUUGGUUUCAGGAAUCUGUAUUUGAAAGCAUUUUUAGAAAUUGCAACCAUCAACAAUAUUUUAGAUCUGCUGGCCUGGUUCAAACUCCCACCCCAAGGAGGAUUCCCAUUAAUAUUAUUUCUGCAGGUGACUCCCAAACCUCUGGGUGCCAGUACUCUCUCCCUUUUCACACCAAUCAUAUGUAUGAGGGUCUCCGUUUGGGAGCACACCUCCCCACAGAAUAGCACGCAGCCCAGGCCUUGUGGGACUCGGCUUCUCAUAAGAAGCGUCUCCUGGAAGCGGACCCAGAGCCUGCUUGUGCACAGCCUUCACCCUUGCCGGCUCUGGUCACUCCCCUGGAGCUCUACAGAGCACAUCUGACAGCCCUUGAGAGACGAAAGAGCAGCUUUUAUUUUCUUCUACAGCUUCUUUCUCUCAAACGAAGCGGUUCUAGGGUCUUAAAGCGUCCUUUGUGGGUUAUGGUGGCAACUCUGUCCCUCAUCCAGCUUUAGUAUCUCUGAACUACUCUUUUGUUGAAAGGAGAACACAGUUCACUGAACACAGUGUAAACAGCGCUGUGAGCCAGGAGUUCCACUGCUCUUAGAACCAGUGACAUGACCCUGGGCAAGCCAUCUCGUCUCUCCAGUCCUGGGUUUCUUGCUUGUCUAGUGAGGCUGCUUGAUUAAAUGACCCACUUUCUAAAGUUCUGGUUUUAGCCUGCACUGGGAAGAACUGGGAGGAGAGCAUGUGGCUCUCAACAACAAAUAUGAUGCUCAUUUCACAUUGAAGUUGACGAGCCAUAAUCUGAUUAGAAAUCUUUUGAGAGUCCGUACAGUCUCUCAUUGAUGCUGAAUGAAUUGUGUGUUGCUUUUAUUGGCUUGGCAUAUAUGGAAAGGAAUGAAUACCAUACAUUUCUCUCCAGAAGCACCCAGCUCUUGGGGAUUAUACAUGUAUACCCAACAGAGAACCCUUUCUUGGGCUUCCUGCCUCAAAUUUCUAUUUUCCCUUAUUAUCAGCCCCUGAAAAAGUAUCCUUUUGCUAGAAUUUGCCAUAAUGUGCUUUAGACUGAAGAGAUUAUUGUCUUUCCCUUGCCCCAAAGUUUUGGGCAAAAUAAUUUAAAGUACCGGAGGAGUUGGGCUGCUUGUCCUUUCAGCCUAGUGAGAGUCUUCAUUUUUUUGUUUUGUUUUGUUUUAAAAAUAAUUAUAUUAAAAAAAAAAAUGUCCAGCCAGAGCAUCUGUUGUUGUUGGCCUCUAAGCACAUCUUAGGGAUCCAUGGCAUGAAUUUGCAAGAAGGAAGGUUUUAAAUAUUAAUAAGACUGGGAAUUGGCUCUUUUGUAUGAGCAUUUUAGAAUUCACUAAAGCACCAGUGAACCCUGAAAAACUUGGCUGCUUGUCAUUAGAGAGUGAGGUUCCCAGGGGGCCUUUCUAGGAGCAAGUACUUGCCACCUGAAGAGUGAACAAAGGACAAAUGAAAGGCAUUUGAGCCUCUUAGGGAUGGAUAUAGACUUUCAAGCCUCCCUGAAGUUUUACCAAACCCAUAUAAUCUUUUCUGAGUUUGCAGAUUAGCAAGUGGUGGCUUUGUUUUGAUGUGACUCAGUUAUGUCUAACCUUGGUCUCAAUAGGAAGUGGCAAGAGAUAUGAGUGGACUACAGAAAUCUGCGAGCACCCAGAGGGAAUGGCCACCACACCCCACCCGCCAUGGUAACUUCUAUAGCAUCUAAACCCCCUUAAAACAGAAUUGUCAUCAGCUAGGAAGAAGCAGGGACAAUUUCUGAAUUUGUCUGAGGGAGCUUACCACUUACAGUGAAGAGGGUAGAAUUUGGAAGGCCUAGUUCUGGGACUUAUGUGAGAGGACAUGGUUAUGUUGAGAAGAAGCUCUACGGAUGCCAAGGACCAACGUGGGAUCAGGUGGUUUUUGUGUUGGUCUUGGCUAUCGAUACUUAUUUUUUCUUUAAAGUUGUCUAGGGUGUAGAGUUCUUAGGACAAGAGAGAGCAAUAGAUUCCUUUGUAUUGAAGAAAUUUCCUACUUUAGAAAGGUAAGUCUGGAGGAAUAUUGUUUUGUUUGGGCAAUUUUCACACCGUAUCACACUGAGGAUUUUUUUAGCCAAAUAGAGAAUCUUAGAUGCUCUAUUCUUUUAAAGAAGCAUAAUAUCCAAACACAGUAAAGCCUCAUUAAAAACUGUCUGUUAUUCAUAAAUUGACUUAAUAUUACAGAAAAAUUUCACAUGCUAGAUGUAAAAGGGGUAGGUGGUGCAUUUCCUUCUCUAUCAUGAGUGGAAAGUUUCUGAGGGCUUUAGAUUUAUCUCUGAAUGUCUAGUCUCUAACAGGGCUUUACUCUUAACUUUUUCAAAAUUAUAACUCAUUUAUUUUUAGUUAAACUUUGAUCUUUGUAUCAGUGAUUAUCAACAACACUUUUGAGGUUAAGUCUCUACUAUUCAACUAACAUUUUUCAAGGACUGUGGAAGAAAAUAUGACCAGAAUCGAGAAGCACUGAGACUUGUUUAAGGGUCAAGGUCAAGGUAACUGUUAUUGUUGAUGUUAUUAAGGCUUAUGCUUGCAAAACUCAGACUUGGAUGACAAUCAUAAAAGACCACGUAGGAUUAAAGACCAGCAAAGGGCUCAGACAAUAAAUGCAAUUGGAGGAGGGAAAAAUCACAUAUAAAUCAUUUUAAGGUUUCUAUAGUUCCUUUAAAACCAGAUGAUUCAAAUUCAGCUCAAAUCCCUGAAGCUUUCAUGGCAAUGUAUAGUAAACCAAUCUGUCCACCAGCUGGAAAGUCACGGCACUUGUAGGGAUCAUUUUCCAUGGACCAGGCUUAUUGCCAGCUCGAGUCUUUCGUGGUAGGCAGGGGAAACUGGGGGGAGAGGUGAGCAUAGGAGGGUGGCAGGGGCUGAGGUUGACAAGUGGGGAGGAGAGGAGAAGCCAAGACCUCAGAGCCUGGCCACGAGCUCAUCUGUGUUUUGCAGACUGUCAUACAAAACAUCUUGGAGGUUGGAAGUUUUCACAACUCAUUUUACGGCUCAAGUUAUGUUCCCUUUUCUUGUCAAUCAUUGUCUUCAAGGGGUUUCCCAUUUAAAUGAGAAUAUGGUGGGGGAGGCAGAGCUGAAAAGCUGAACAACAAGGCAAGAUGUAUGAUAUGAACACACACACACCCCCACCCCACCCACCAGAGGAAGUACUUCAGAAUACAUAGUGUUCUGUUUGGAUGGUGGAGUUUUGAAUAAUCUUUCUUUCAUUCCGGUUCAAUUUGCCAGAUUUUCUUUAAUAAUCUUGUAUAGUGUUUAUGAUGAAAAGAAUAUUCAAGAGAUGUCACAACAGAUGAAAACAAACGCCAGGGGAGGUGACAUGGACAGUGUGUGGACCAAGGAUACUGGGAGGCAGCUGUGCGUGGGACGUGCAGGCUGGGCAGAAAGUGUGGAGGCCAGAGAGCAGAGCUGUUCCAGCGGCAUGGAGGUGCCCACCCGGGCAGAACUGCAGGAUAUGGCAGUGCCCAGAGUGUCACAGUUGGGCUGGACAGACACCCAAAGAGCGUGUCGGAACAGUUAGGCCUGGAGCCAGCCCAUUUUGGCUUGAUAAGGCAGUUUAUGUAAAUCAAGGUUGUUACACGGAAACAGCUGGUUUCACUUUAGUUUAAUGGAAAACAAGAGGACAUCAAGGUGGGGAGACAAGAGGGGAGGUGGGUGGACAGAGAGAGGAUGAGUUGGGCUCGUGGGAUGAGGCGGUGCAGGCAGGCAGCCUGACCAGGGAGUGAAGGCAGGUGGACAGGUGUCAGCAUCAGUUUAGCUGAGAGGACCAGGUUGGGGGCAGGCUGAGCCGGAUCCUUCAGGCCUGGCUUGGCCUGAGAGAUCCCCUUCCUUUCCAAAGCUCGUGAUCUGCACAUUACAUGGCCAUGGAGACCACAGGAAAGUCCGUGUUUGUGAAGGUGUUUGCCUCCGCCCUCCUGUCUCGCUUGAUUUGAUACUUUUCCACUGAAGUGUGUAUGGAUGCCCCAUUUCUGGCUUAAAAUGGGGGGCUCUUCCUCUGGGGAGCCCAUGCCUCUCCUUCUGUCCCUGUUUCCUGGGUGCAGGCACAGUGGACCCAGCCAGUGCAGAUACAACGCUGCCAUGUUAAUCUCCUGCAGCCCUGAGGCUGCCAGGACAAGAACUAGUAGUUCCCCUGGAAGGAGGAGUUACAGACCACCACCAGGCUACAGCCCUUCUGUGAGACCUUUGAGGGGAGAUCUAGGGUUGUCUUCAUUCUGAUAUCUUCUCCUGGAGUGAUGUCCACUGGCUUACAGAAAGCACUCGACAUGUAUUUAUUGCCUGGGGAAUGAGUUAAUUUGCAUAUAUAAUAAAGGGAGCAGUUAACUGAUGUCUGUAUUGUUUUGAUAUUUGGUUUGGUAGUUGGCAUAGAAUUAUCAUAAAAUAUUUAUCCAUCUAUGCCCUUACAUGGAGGAAAUGACUAAGAUUCAAAUGAGAUUAGAGGUGGGCAGGUGCUCUGAGAUCUUUAAAAGAAACUCUUUCUACAUCGGGGACUUCUUCCUCUUUGGGACUUGAUUUUCUUCAGGGUACCCCAUGGUGUGAAUGCGGUUGCUAAUGAGCUGAUGUUCCUUUGGGAGGUCAAACUGAAGAUCUGGGGUGGAGAUGGCAUGAGUGUCUCUCUGUUGACAUCAGUUUGAGGUUGUGUCUGAUCCUGGGGGAUUGCUGUGGCCUGAAUAAUAAAAAUCCAUGGAAUUGCUUCAGGACACAGACCAGUUACGACCUACUGCAAAGCUGCUGUCCCUGAGGAACCCUCGCAGCAGUGUGAAUUGCUUUUCCUGUACUUUGCAUUGUCCAGCUUUCAGGCUGGAGGUGAGUAGACUGGGCAAUAAGAGAAAGAGUCUCAUCUGUCAGUUCCCUUGCCCUGCAGCUUCUCUGCACCUGCUUACUGCUUUGUGUUGUUUGAUAUAUUGACCUCUCUCUCUACCCAGUAUAGCUCCUUCCUAGGGUAGCUGUAUUAAUAUACUGGCCCCAUGGAAUGGCAAAAAUUCCUCCAGACAUACAGUUUUCUCAUCUGAUGUUCACAACAGCCCAGAGAUAAGCAGGGCAAGUACAAUUAUCUCUCUUUUAUGGCUGAGGCUUGUGAAGCACUUUAUUUAUUUAUUUUUCCUGUUCUUGAGUUGGUUAGUGGUAGAACCGCUCACCAGCCCAUAUAUCUAGGUCUGAAAUUACCAUAUGCUCUCUGAUCCUGGAUUCUUAUUUCCGUCCCUCAGAGCAUCUGGUAGAGCUCAAGCUCCAUAAAAACCUGUCAAAUCAUGAUUUUAAGAAUCCCUGUUAGCUUUCCUAUUAUAUUUAGUGUGAUUCAGUGGAAAAGAGCUGGGUCCCCAAAUUCUUUGUAUUGGCUGAGCUACUAGCUGACCAUGAACCUUUCUGAAGCCAAGGCCCCUCAGACCCUUAAGGGGCAUAGCAUCUAGAGAGGAAAAUAGGAUGCUUCAGCCCCCCACCCCCAGGGGGUUAACUGCCCUCCCUGUACCUCAUUUUUAAUUGCCCCUCUUAUGUCUGGACACCCUGCCACCAACCCCCUUCUCAUCAACCAUCUUCGUUAAACCCCUUCCUCCUGGUCUGCCCUCACCCCAAGCCCAUGUGGCUGGUCUCUGCCUGACAGCUGGCUGCCCAGGGUGACUCCAGCUCAUAUCCGUGCUUCCCACCAGGCCACAGCCGCUCUUUAAUAGAGACAUGCAGGCUGAUCCUCCUGCUUAUGUCGCUAAGCAGCUGACUUUUGGUUGCCUGGAGAUUAUCAUGGAGCCAAGACCGCACAGUGGAAAUGUGUGUCUCAUUCUGCGCUAGGAUGUUCUUGGGCACCUAAGAAACACCAAUCGUUUCUUUUGCAACUCUGAUUUUACAUUAAAUCUCUGGAACUUUAGGCUACAUCCUUCACAUGUUAGUUAUGAAAAUAAUAAGCACACAAAAGAUCAUGUUCUGAUAUCCCGGGUUUAUAGGGAUUGGCAAUUCUUUAGGAUGCUAGAGGUGGGAAAGUACCACACACCUUCUGUAAAGCAGGAUAAAGAGAAGGAACAUACCUUGAGCCUUUGUGCUUAUAAUAGAGGGGUGGGGGGGACGGUGUUUUUGAACUUUCCCCUUUAUUUGUAUGGGGAGCAAUAAUUGGAAGAGUAGGCCUUGCUGAGAGGAGACCAUUUCAGAAAGUCCCUGGGGGAGAGACUUUGGCACUAAAGUUUUUUUAGGAAACGCAGAGAUUAUAGGUGCCUGGAUCCCUGGACUGAUGGUAUGACACAGUUUACCUCUUCUUGAGUUUUUUUUCAGUGUUCAGAUUCAGAGAUAGGAGUGCUGGAUGAAUUGGGAGGAUUUAACGUGUAGUGUUACUCUUGCCUGGGGUCACACAGAGUCGGACACUAGUGAAGUGAUUUAGCAGCAGCAGCAGCAACCUGUAGUGUGUGCACGUGCCCAGAAAAGUGGCCAGGAGGAGCCACUGAGAGCCCUCCACCCCACCCCGGGCUUACAGCAUGGCGUCUCUGGAGGUCUGGGGAGAAGAUGCCAUGGGGGACCAGGGGUCGGUAGGAUCUAUGACUCUGGCCUGCAAUUAGUCAUUUUUGACACUGUCCUUGGAGGUAGAGCAGCUGAAGCCCAGAGCCGCCUCCAGCUUUGUUUUGCUUUGAGCUGCACUGGGCCUUCAUUGCUCCUGUGGCUUUUCUGUAGUUGUGACGAGCAGGGGCUACUCGUUGGUUGUGGUGCUCAGGCUUCUCACUGCAGUGGCU
Long non-coding RNA from Bubalus bubalis (water buffalo), 11529 nucleotides. RefSeq lists it as uncharacterized. NCBI's taxonomy places the organism in Eukaryota, Metazoa, Chordata, Mammalia, Artiodactyla, Bovidae. The transcript is spliced from 3 exons. The record is from RefSeq and is a predicted model, not a curated record.